GCAGUCGAACGCUUCUUUUUCCACCGGAGCUUGCUCCACCGGAAAAAGAGGAGUGGCGAACGGGUGAGUAACACGUGGGUAACCUGCCCAUCAGAAGGGGAUAACACUUGGAAACAGGUGCUAAUACCGUAUAACAAUCGAAACCGCAUGGUUUUGAUUUGAAAGGCGCUUUCGGGUGUCGCUGAUGGAUGGACCCGCGGUGCAUUAGCUAGUUGGUGAGGUAACGGCUCACCAAGGCGACGAUGCAUAGCCGACCUGAGAGGGUGAUCGGCCACAUUGGGACUGAGACACGGCCCAAACUCCUACGGGAGGCAGCAGUAGGGAAUCUUCGGCAAUGGACGAAAGUCUGACCGAGCAACGCCGCGUGAGUGAAGAAGGUUUUCGGAUCGUAAAACUCUGUUGUUAGAGAAGAACAAGGAUGAGAGUAACUGUUCAUCCCUUGACGGUAUCUAACCAGAAAGCCACGGCUAACUACGUGCCAGCAGCC
This 487-nucleotide ribosomal RNA is filed under the name Enterococcus hirae. Its description in RNAcentral is "bacterial SSU rRNA". It matches the Rfam family "Bacterial small subunit ribosomal RNA", at positions 57 to 516 of the family's 1533-position model. Lineage: Bacteria; Bacillati; Bacillota; Bacilli; Lactobacillales; Enterococcaceae. The record is from RNAcentral.